Molecule: ribosomal RNA, 112 nt
Filed under: uncultured bacterium
Lineage: Bacteria
Description: partial 16S ribosomal RNA
Rfam family: Bacterial small subunit ribosomal RNA
Source: RNAcentral
UACGUCCGGCUUGUACACACCGCCCGUCAAGUCACGAAAGUCGGUAACACCGAAGCCGGUGGCCCAACCCUUGUGGAGGGAGCCGUCGAAGGUGGGAUUGGCGAUUGGGACU